This 82-nucleotide small RNA is filed under the name Flavobacterium sp. 5. Its description in RNAcentral is "Flavo-1 RNA". It matches the Rfam family "Flavo-1 RNA". Lineage: Bacteria; Pseudomonadati; Bacteroidota; Flavobacteriia; Flavobacteriales; Flavobacteriaceae. The record is from RNAcentral.
CCCUAGCCCCGAUAGAAGUGAAAAUCCUUUUAUUUUGUUCCUUUAACAAAAUAAAAGAUUGUAACGAAUAGCGGGAAUAGCU